UCACACUUGACGUGACAGAACCUCUUAGCUGCACUUCACAGCUCCUUCCCUCUCUCCCUCCCUUCCUCCCUCUUUCUCUCCAUCCCUCUCUCUCUCUCUCCUCUCAGUGCCCUGCCCCUCUCCCCCUUCCCUCCCUUCGCUGAGCUCCCAGGAAAGAGCGCAAGCAAGGAAAACGUUCCGAGCAGGAAUGUCGUCAUUCUUCACGACAGUAUUUGUUGUUUUCUGUCCAGGGCCCUGCACGUUCCUAAAGGAGCUCUGCUCCCAUCCCGCCUGUGUUCGUCUGGUCCUGGACCCCCCAGUGCUUGGCUCCCUGCUCCCCUGGUGACACAAUUCACAGGCCUGAGUGAGACAAACAGGACACAAGGCCUCGGCUAACAAAAAC
This 382-nucleotide long non-coding RNA is filed under the name Lepisosteus oculatus (spotted gar). RNAcentral describes it as "lncRNA (ENSLOCG00000021074.1)". Lineage: Eukaryota; Metazoa; Chordata; Actinopteri; Semionotiformes; Lepisosteidae. The record is from RNAcentral.